Molecule: ribosomal RNA, 252 nt
Filed under: uncultured bacterium
Lineage: Bacteria
Description: partial 16S ribosomal RNA
Rfam family: Bacterial small subunit ribosomal RNA
Source: RNAcentral
UACGGAGGGUGCAAGCGUUGUCCGGAAUCACUGGGCGUAAAGGGCGCGUAGGCGGCUCAUGAAGGCUGUGGUGAAAGUCCGGGGCUCAACCUCGGAUCGGCCGUGGCGACUCGUGGGCUGGAGCACUGUAGAGGCGGGUGGAAUUCCGGGUGUAGCGGUGAAAUGCGUAGAUAUCGGGAGGAACACCUGUGGCGAAGGCGGCGCCUGGGUCGAUACUGACGCUGAGGUGCGAAAGCGUGGGGAGCAAACAGG